This 301-nucleotide ribosomal RNA is filed under the name uncultured bacterium. RNAcentral describes it as "partial 16S ribosomal RNA". It matches the Rfam family "Bacterial small subunit ribosomal RNA", at positions 509 to 807 of the family's 1533-position model. The record is from RNAcentral.
CAGUCGCCACGGUAAUACGAAGGGGGCUAGCGUUGCUCGGAAUCACUGGGCGUAAAGGGUGCGUAGGCGGGUCUUUAAGUCAGGGGUGAAAUCCUGGAGCUCAACUCCAGAACUGCCUUUGAUACUGAAGAUCUUGAGUUCGGGAGAGGUGAGUGGAACUGCGAGUGUAGAGGUGAAAUUCGUAGAUAUUCGCAAGAACACCAGUGGCGAAGGCGGCUCACUGGCCCGAUACUGACGCUGAGGCAUGAAAGCGUGGGGAGCAAACAGGAUUAGAUACCCCCGUAGUCCCUGUCUCUUAUAC